Saccostrea cuccullata (small rock oyster) is the source of this 611-nucleotide long non-coding RNA. RefSeq lists it as uncharacterized. The transcript is spliced from 2 exons. NCBI's taxonomy places the organism in Eukaryota, Metazoa, Mollusca, Bivalvia, Ostreida, Ostreidae. The record is from RefSeq and is a predicted model, not a curated record.
GUCUGUGCAUGAGAGGACUUAUUCAACUUACUGCGAUUUUAACGGGCUUAAAGCUUGGUCCAUGGAUGGUUAUGUUUGAGGAUUUGCCAAUUCGACCGCAAGUGCUGCUGCAAGAAAUUAAACAUGCAGAGACCUUACAAAUUACAAAGAAGUCUGAAGAAAAUUUUUAUUGGACAGAUGGGUGUAAAGCACAGACCUGAGAUAUAAAUUGAAUUGUGAGAAAUAUGAAUCAGGGAUGCAGGUAGAAAAUGGCAAAUGUGAUCCAGAUUGAUAAAAAAUGUCUAAAAUUUUUUCUUGUUUUGUAAAUAUUCAAUGCUAUGUCAAUUGUUAUUUUUUCCCCAGUACCUAAUAGUGUUGAACAUUUCACUCCCACUUUUGCUUAAAUAGAAUGAAUAAAUUUCCAUUUAUUUAAUAUGAAUAUUAAAAAAUGCCACAUUUUUUCCAUGAACUUGUGGCUUAAAUAAGAGUUCCAGUUUUUUUUCCAUACAUGCUCCUAUUUGUUUGUCAAAGAUAUAAGAUCCAAUACAUUGCUCAUGAACAUAAUGUGUAAUUUUGUUCAUUCAUUUAUAUGUUUUUUUCUCAUAAUGAUAUAAUAAAUUGUAUAUAAUUUU